RNAcentral lists this ribosomal RNA (253 nucleotides) under uncultured bacterium. RNAcentral describes it as "partial 16S ribosomal RNA". It matches the Rfam family "Bacterial small subunit ribosomal RNA", at positions 524 to 776 of the family's 1533-position model. The record is from RNAcentral.
CACGGGGGGAGCAAGCGUUGUUCGGAAUCACUGGGCAUAAAGGGCGUGUAGGCGGUCAAGUAAGUGGAAUGUGAAAUCCCCCGGCUUACCCGGGGACCUGCAUCCCAAACUGCUUGGCUUGAGUACGGGAGAGGAUGAGGGAAUUCCUGGUGUAGCGGUGAAAUGCGUAGAUAUCAGGAGGAACACCGGUGGCGAAGGCGCUCAUCUGGCCCGAUACUGACGCUGAGGCGCGAAAGCUAGGGGAGCAAACGGG